RNAcentral lists this ribosomal RNA (715 nucleotides) under Pseudomonas sp. UA-VH0912. RNAcentral's name for it is "bacterial SSU rRNA". It matches the Rfam family "Bacterial small subunit ribosomal RNA", at positions 80 to 792 of the family's 1533-position model. The record is from RNAcentral. Lineage: Bacteria; Pseudomonadati; Pseudomonadota; Gammaproteobacteria; Pseudomonadales; Pseudomonadaceae.
UUGCUCCUGGAUUCGCGGGCGGACGGGUGAGUAAUGCCUAGGAAUCUGCCUGGUAGUGGGGGACAACGUUUCGAAAGGAACGCUAAUACCGCAUACGUCCUACGGGAGAAAGCAGGGACCUUCAGGCCUUGCGCUAUCAGAUGAGCCUAGGUCGGAUUAGCUAGUUGGUGAGGUAAUGGCUCACCAAGGCAACGAUCCGUAACUGGUCUGAGAGGAUGAUCACUCACACUGGAACUGACACACGGUCCACACUCCUACGGGAGGCAGCAGUGGGGAAUAUUGGACAAUGGGCGAAAGCCUGAUCCAGCCAUGCCGCGUGUGUGAACAAGGUCUUCGGAUUGUAAAGCACUUUAAGUUGGGAGGAAGGGCAGUAAAUUAAUACUUUGCUGUUUUGACGUUACCGACAGAAUAAGCACCGGCUAACUCUGUGCCAUCAGCCUCGGUAAUACAGAGGGUGCAAGCGUUAAUCGGAAUUACUGGGCGUAAAGCGCGCGUAGGUGGUUUGUUAAGUUGGAUGUGAAAUCCCCGGGCUCUACCUGGGAACUGCAUUCAAAACUGACAAGCUAGAGUAUGGUAGAGGGUGGUGGAAUUUCCUGUGUAGCGCUGAAAUGCGUAGAUAUAGGAAGGAACACCAGUGGCGAAGGCGACCACCUGGACUGAUACUGACACUGAAGUGCGAAAGCGUGGGGAGCAUACAGGAUUAUAUACCCUGGUA